GGAGAGAUGGCAGAGUGGUCGAAUGUACCUGACUCGAAAUCAGGCGAACCGCAAGGUUCCGAGGGUUCGAAUCCCUCUCUCUCCUCCA
This 88-nucleotide transfer RNA is filed under the name Burkholderiales bacterium PBB5. RNAcentral describes it as "tRNA-Ser". It matches the Rfam family "tRNA". From Rfam's summary of the family: Transfer RNA (tRNA) molecules are approximately 80 nucleotides in length. Their secondary structure includes four short double-helical elements and three loops (D, anti-codon, and T loops). Further hydrogen bonds mediate the characteristic L-shaped molecular structure. tRNAs have two regions of fundamental functional importance: the anti-codon, which is responsible for specific mRNA codon recognition, and the 3' end, to which the tRNAs corresponding amino acid is attached (by aminoacyl-tRNA synthetases). tRNAs cope with the degeneracy of the genetic code in two manners: having more than one tRNA (with a specific anti-codon) for a particular amino acid; and 'wobble' base-pairing, i.e. permitting non-standard base-pairing at the 3rd anti-codon position. Lineage: Bacteria; Pseudomonadati; Pseudomonadota; Betaproteobacteria; Burkholderiales. The record is from RNAcentral.